GUACUUCUGAAGAGUCCAAAACUAGGACGAAACAGUUGUCCAGUAC
Molecule: non-coding RNA, 46 nt
Organism: Trichobilharzia regenti
Lineage: Eukaryota; Metazoa; Platyhelminthes; Trematoda; Strigeidida; Schistosomatidae
Source: Rfam